Molecule: long non-coding RNA, 1043 nt
Organism: Amphiprion ocellaris (clown anemonefish)
Lineage: Eukaryota; Metazoa; Chordata; Actinopteri; Pomacentridae
Source: Ensembl
UGAACGUCACGUCGUUUAUUCCGUCGAUGUAGGAAAAUAGAUUCACAUUAAUGUUCUGGCUUCUGUCCUCCGUCACUCUUCUGUUUCUCUUCACAACAAACAAACACAACUAAGAGGAAAAGUAAAGGUGCGUCUCACUGAUUAUUUUCAAACCAAACCAGGGAGGGUUCACGUUUCCGCCUCCCGCUUCCAGUUUUUUUUUUAAAGUGCAAAAGAAAAACAAACACGAAGCCAGCAGGUCACAGCUGAACAGAAAACAAAUGUUUAGAGGCGAGAAUAUAGAAAACCCAGACGAACACACGGGGGACCAUGCAGGAAGCCGGCGGCGCCUUCCACAAAGAAAGGAGAGUUAAAAACAUCGUCAUAGCAACAGGAAGAAGAAGAAAAUCUGCACAUCAACGUCUGUACAACCGUCUGGAACAGCAAAGACACACAGCGACAACAGAAACAAACAGUGAGGGAACAAACGGCAGCAAGAAGCUUCAAACGCUGCAGGUCGCUGCCACGGUCCCACUCAGGAGGACCGACACCCAGGAAAAACAACACAAAAACUCCUCUCUCCUCCACAGAAACCAGCGUUUGUUCAGGAGAUAAAGCCUGAGUGGGUCCAUGGCAGCGAUCAGAGCUAUGAUCACUUCACACCUCCAUCACAUCAACUGCAGGGUCGACCAGGAUCAGCUCCAACGCCUCGUCAUCUCGUCACCGUCGUCCAAUCAGCUGCAGACGUUCAGCAGCUCCUACAUGUUUACUAUUAAGUGCUCAGUUGUUGCUGUUUUUUGUAAAUCUGCAAAUUAUUUUAACUCCGAUCAAUGCAUUUUACCAAAUGACUUGGUUUUAUGUCUUAUUUUUACAGAAUUAUUCCAACUGUUCGUCCAUUAAGGGUCUGAUUUAUCCUCUGGACCUUCACCUGUAGGAGCUGAUCUGACUGACCUUCUGAAUAUCACUGGACCUACACGACGAGCCUUUAAAAGGAAGAAGAGGAAUUUUCAUUCCAAAAGUCUUGGAUGAGUCUGGAGGUGAAUGAACGACGUGCAAAGCUGCUC